Molecule: ribosomal RNA, 253 nt
Filed under: uncultured bacterium
Lineage: Bacteria
Description: partial 16S ribosomal RNA
Rfam family: Bacterial small subunit ribosomal RNA
Source: RNAcentral
UACAGAGGGGGCAAGCGUUAAUCGGAAUUACUGGGCGUAAAGCGUGCGCAGGCGGUUUUGUAAGUCUGACGUGAAAGCCCCGGGCUUAACCUGGGAAUUGCGUUGGAGACUGCAAGGCUUGAAUCUGGCAGAGGGGGGUAGAAUUCCACGUGUAGCAGUGAAAUGCGUAGAGAUGUGGAGGAACACCGAUGGCGAAGGCAGCCCCCUGGGUCAAGAUUGACGCUCAUGUGCGAAAGCGUGGGGAGCAAACAGG